Molecule: ribosomal RNA, 262 nt
Filed under: uncultured bacterium
Lineage: Bacteria
Description: partial 16S ribosomal RNA
Rfam family: Bacterial small subunit ribosomal RNA
Source: RNAcentral
UACGUAGGGGCCUAGCGUUGUCCGGAUUUAUUGGGCGUAAAGAGCUCGUAGGCGGUUCGGUAAGUCAGGUGUGAAAUCUCCACGCUCAACGUGGAGGCGCCACCUGAAACUGCCCGUGACUCGAGUCCGGUAGGGGAGUGUGGGAAUUCCCGGUGUAGCGGUGAAAUGACGCAGAUAUCAGGAGGAACACCGGUGGCGAAGGCGGGGUCUCUGGGGCCGAUACUGACGCUGAGGAGCGAAAAGCGUGGGGGAGCGAAACAGG